ACCGACAUCAGCGAUUCGUUCUGCGACCCUGCGCCAACCGCCAGAUAGGCGUUCAUCCCCAGCUCUUUCAUCUGCUGUUCGCCGAUGACGCGGGUGGUGAUGUUGGUGCUAAAGGCAUCCGCCAACUGACGAGCCUGAGAGGCCAGGUAGCCGGCGUUACAGAUGUUCGGCGGCAUAUUGCCGAGAUCUUUCGC
RNAcentral lists this antisense RNA (194 nucleotides) under Serratia liquefaciens. RNAcentral's name for it is "Yersinia sRNA 276". It matches the Rfam family "Yersinia sRNA 276". Lineage: Bacteria; Pseudomonadati; Pseudomonadota; Gammaproteobacteria; Enterobacterales; Yersiniaceae. The record is from RNAcentral.